Non-coding RNA from Myotis davidii, 55 nucleotides. NCBI's taxonomy places the organism in Eukaryota, Metazoa, Chordata, Mammalia, Chiroptera, Vespertilionidae. The record is from Rfam.
GGUGGUUCUUGGGUGAUGCACCCUGGAAUCGGGCUUCUUCCUCUCUGAUUCCAGG